UCACAGUCUCAGGUACAGGCUUCCCUGCCUCUACCCUCCCAGUCUCAGACCAUGGUGCUGAUAACACCAUUACACAGCAAACAUGACCUGACACGUCAACAUGAAGAGUAUGCAGAAGUGGAGGCCCACAGUGAAGGCCUGCUGGCAGACAGUGAUAUAGUGUUUGCCAAGGAGACGGUGCCAUCCCAGAGGCUAGAGCCAGGUGGAGGUCACAGCCAGCACCAGGGCCAAUCGAUCACUACCAGCCACAGCCAGGGGCACCACGCCCGGGGGCACCAGGGGCACCAAGCCCGGGGACACCAAGCCCAAGAGCAGGGCCAGGUCUCCACCAUCACCAACAUCUCCCUGGAGGAGCAGAAAGUGCUGCUGUCCCUGAAUCGACUCAAUCGUCGGCUGCAAUAUGUGCAGGCCUCAGCUGGAGGCAGCCCUGCAGAUAAAGCUUUCCUAUGUGGUGAAGCGCCCUUUACAGAGGAAGGGACGGGUGCUGCCCACCGUAAACACCGCACGGUCUCCACCGACAACCGCCCGAGAACCCAGAGGAGAUUCUGACACAACGGUCCAAUAUGGCCGCCUGAAUGUCACUCUGUCAGCUUGUGCUUCACUCCAACCUUAUACACUGCUGCAAAAAUAUCUUUAUAAUAACCCUCCCCGAGUUUCAGCACCACCACUAACUCUCUCUGCUGGGAUGAAGACUUCACAACCCAGGACUGUGAAUAAGUCCAUUAUCAAAUGACAGUACUUAUAUUGACUUAUUUACACAUUAUAGCUUCAGUCUUAUAUACAGCCAGGCUUUGCUAUUUGGUUUUGGCCUUUAAUUGAUAGAGAUUAUUUUUGUAUUGAAUAAAUAUAUUUAUUUUCCUGAAAAAUUGUGCGGUGUGUGUAUAUAUUGUACACAAUGAUUGUACACAAUGUAUUGUGUAUCGUAUUGGUACCAUUGUAUUGUACACAAUGAUACCAAUAGGAUUGUAUACUGAUGUGUGUCAGUGUGUAAACUAAUCUUGAUAAUGAUGAAGCAAAAUAAAGUCAUUCUGUCC
Oncorhynchus tshawytscha (Chinook salmon) is the source of this 1034-nucleotide long non-coding RNA. NCBI's taxonomy places the organism in Eukaryota, Metazoa, Chordata, Actinopteri, Salmoniformes, Salmonidae. The record is from Ensembl.